GGGUUUCCACGAGUGGCAUAAAACCAUCGGGGGGGGGGGAGGCAACUGGAGACUUAACAGUGGUUUUUCAUUUUUGCCGCACAGAUACAAAUGCCCCCGAGGCUGCUGCGGACCGAGCCGCGCCGGGACUCAGUUCAUUUUGCUUUUUCCCUGGCUGCCCAGAGACAUGCUGUGCAUUCUGCAGAGGGACUUGAAUAUUUUCUGAAUCAUGGAAACAGUGCUAACAAUUACGCAUCUCUUGGCCAGUCUCCAGUUAAGGAGACCUGCCAUCAGAGACAAAUCACUGACCAUUUGACCACGUCAUGAGCAUAUUCAUGGCUUAAUGAGACUGUCCUUGCUUACCAGCCCUCCUGUUUUGGCCCAUAUGAGCACCCCAUGUGUCGCGAAGACCCAACAUAAAGGAUAUAUUGGAUUUUUUCCCCCUAUAAAUACAAGUUUCCAAAAUCUUG
Gavialis gangeticus (Gharial) is the source of this 449-nucleotide long non-coding RNA. RefSeq lists it as uncharacterized. The transcript has 2 exons. The record is from RefSeq and is a predicted model, not a curated record. NCBI's taxonomy places the organism in Eukaryota, Metazoa, Chordata, Crocodylia, Gavialidae.